ACUACAUGAAGCUGGAAUCGCUAGUAAUCGCGGAUCAGAAUGCCGCGGUGAAUACGUUCCCGGGUCUUGUACACACUGCCCGUCACACCAUGGGAGUCGGAAAUGCCCGAAGUCUGUGACCCAACCUUAGGGAGGGAGCAGCCGAAGGCAGGUCGGAUGACUGGGGUGAAGUCGUAACAAGGUACC
This 186-nucleotide ribosomal RNA is filed under the name uncultured bacterium. RNAcentral describes it as "partial 16S ribosomal RNA". It matches the Rfam family "Bacterial small subunit ribosomal RNA", at positions 1315 to 1500 of the family's 1533-position model. The record is from RNAcentral.